This is a long non-coding RNA of Hemicordylus capensis (graceful crag lizard), 233 nucleotides long. RefSeq lists it as uncharacterized. Lineage: Eukaryota; Metazoa; Chordata; Lepidosauria; Squamata; Cordylidae. The transcript is spliced from 2 exons. The record is from RefSeq and is a predicted model, not a curated record.
GGCAGCAGUACCUGGAGGUGUAGCUCCAGAAGCCAGGACUGAGAGUACCAGGAGCAGCAUGCUGGCCAGGCAGAUGAACAGGGGGAUGCAGGAUUCAACAGAGACAAGAGCCCAGUACCCACCAGAAGUCAAGUCAGAUUACUGUCACCAGCUCUGAGGAUCCUGUCUGGUUGGAAGAUGCACAAUAUAAAUGAUUUUAUAAACUAAAUAAAUAAAUAAAACCCUGGUGCCAA